Molecule: ribosomal RNA, 465 nt
Filed under: uncultured bacterium
Lineage: Bacteria
Description: partial 16S ribosomal RNA
Rfam family: Bacterial small subunit ribosomal RNA
Source: RNAcentral
CCUACGGGAGGCAGCAGUAGGGAAUCUUCCACAAUGGGCGAAAGCCUGAUGGAGCAACGCCGCGUGGGUGAAGAAGGUCUUCGGAUCGUAAAACUCUGUUGUUAGAGAAGAAAGUGCGUGAGAGUAACUGUUCACGUUUCGACGGUAUCUAACCAGAAAGCCCCGGCUAACUACGUGCCAGCAGCCGCGGUAAUACGUAGGUGGCAAGCGUUAUCCGGAUUUAUUGGGCGUAAAGGGUACGCAGGCGGUCUUUUAAGUCUGAUGUGAAAGCCUUCGGCUUAACCGGAGUAGUGCAUUGGAAACUGGGAGACUUGAGUGCAGAAGAGGAGAGUGGAACUCGAUGUGUAGCGGUGAAAUGCGUAGAUAUAUGGAAGAACACCAGUGGCGAAAGCGGCUCUCUGGUCUGUAACUGACGCUGAGGUUCGAAAGCGUGGGUAGCAAACAGGAUUAGAUACCCCUGUAGUC